This 921-nucleotide ribosomal RNA is filed under the name uncultured archaeon. RNAcentral's name for it is "bacterial SSU rRNA". It matches the Rfam family "Archaeal small subunit ribosomal RNA", at positions 1 to 913 of the family's 1478-position model. The record is from RNAcentral.
UUCCGGUUGAUCCUGCCGGAGGUCACUGCUAUUGGGGUUCGGCUAAGCCAUGCGAGCGGAGGGCGCGGUCGCAAGAUCGUGGCCCCGCACACGGCUCAGUAACACGUAGUUAACCUACCCUCGGGACGGGGACAACGCCGGGAAACUGGCGAUAAUCCCCGAUAGGUGAGGGACGCUGGAAUGCUUCCUCGCUCAAAGCUCCGGCGCCCGAGGAUGGGACUACGGCCUAUCAGGCUGUUGGUGGUGUGACGGACCACCAAACCUACGACGGGUACGGGCGAUGGGAGUCGGAGCCCGGAGAUGGGGACUGAGACAAGGCCCCAGGCCCUACGGGGCGCAGCAGGCGCGAAAACUCCGCAAUGCGCGCAAGCGUGACGGGGGAACCCCAAGUGCCGUUGGUCUUUUGAUCGACGGCUUUUCGGAAGUCCAAUAAGCUUCCGGAAUAAGGGCUGGGUAAGACUGGUGCCAGCCGCCGCGGUAACACCAGCAGCCCAAGUGGUGGCCGCGAUUAUUGGGCCUAAAGCGCUCGUAGCCGGAUCAGCAAGUCCUUUGUGAAAUCGGGCCGCCUAACGGUUCGGCGUGCAAAGGAUACUGUUGGUCUUGAGACCGGGAGAGGUCGGAGGUACUCUUGGGGUAGCGGUGAAAUGCUGUAAUCCUAGGGGGACCACCAGUGGCGAAGGCGUCCGACCAGAACGGAUCUGACGGUGAGGGGCGAAGGCUAGGGGAGCGAACGGGAUUAGAUACCCCGGUAGUCCUAGCUGUAAAGCAUGCGGGCCAGGUGUCUAGCGCUCCUCGAGGGCGCUAUGUGCCGGAGGGAAGCCGUUAAGCCCGCCGCCUGGGAAGUACGGCCGCAAGGCUGAAACUUAAAGAAAUCGGUGGGGGAGCACCACAAGGGGUGGAACCUGCGGUUCAAUUGGACUC